RNAcentral lists this ribosomal RNA (254 nucleotides) under uncultured bacterium. RNAcentral's name for it is "partial 16S ribosomal RNA". It matches the Rfam family "Bacterial small subunit ribosomal RNA", at positions 524 to 776 of the family's 1533-position model. The record is from RNAcentral.
UACGUAGGGGGCAAGCGUUGUCCGGAAUCAUUGGGCGUAAAGAGCGCGUAGGCGGCCCUGUAAGUCCGCUGUGAAAGUCAAGGGCUCAACCCUUGAAUGCCGGUGGAUACUGCAGGGCUAGAGUCCGGAAGAGGCGAGUGGAAUUCCUGGUGUAGCGGUGAAAUGCGCAGAUAUCAGGAGGAACACCAGUGGCGAAGGCGACUACCUGGCCUGUUUCUUGACGCUGAGGCGCGAAAGCUAGGGGAGCAAACGGG